Molecule: ribosomal RNA, 165 nt
Filed under: Castanopsis sclerophylla
Lineage: Eukaryota; Viridiplantae; Streptophyta; Magnoliopsida; Fagales; Fagaceae
Description: 5.8S ribosomal RNA
Rfam family: 5.8S ribosomal RNA
About the family: 5.8S ribosomal RNA (5.8S rRNA) is a component of the large subunit of the eukaryotic ribosome. It is transcribed by RNA polymerase I as part of the 45S precursor that also contains 18S and 28S rRNA.
Source: RNAcentral
CUCUCGGCAACGGAUAUCUAGGCUCUCGCAUCGAUGAAGAACGUAGCGAAAUGCGAUACUUGGUGUGAAUUGCAGAAUCCCGCGAAUCAUCGAGUUUUUGAACGCAGGUUGCGCCCAAAGCCAUUCGGCCGAGGGCACGUCUGCCUGGGUGUCACGCAUCGUUGC